AUGUGCCGGCACAAGAAUGCGGAUGGCGAGCUUGUGUACCAACAACACAGACAACUCACGUCCGAGUUCAUUGCUUACAGGUUAUCCAACCAAAUAUCCACACUUCCAAUAAUGAGCAUCAAGAGUGUCAUUGACCUUGUGAAAGUCAUCUUUCAUUACAAGGUGAAGUACGGCAAGGCAUGGAAGGCGAAGCAAGCCGCAUUCAAGAUGUUGUAUGGCAAUUGGGAGGAAGCAUACAACCGACUCCCUAGGUUGUUGUUAGCUAUGGCCGCCACAAACCCAGGCAUGGUUCACGUGGUUGAGCCUCAUGGGCACCAAACAUUGAUUCAUAACGGGAGGACCAUCCGAGUAUUUAUCCGUGCAUUUUGGGCCUUUGAGCAAUGCGUGAGGGCUUUUGAGCAUUGUCGGCCCGUCAUCGCCAUUGAUGGCACGUUCUUGACCGGAUAA
This 447-nucleotide ribosomal RNA is filed under the name Triticum aestivum (bread wheat). Its description in RNAcentral is "partial small subunit ribosomal RNA". Lineage: Eukaryota; Viridiplantae; Streptophyta; Magnoliopsida; Poales; Poaceae. The record is from RNAcentral.